This 60-nucleotide transfer RNA is filed under the name Calanus hyperboreus. Its description in RNAcentral is "tRNA-Tyr". The record is from RNAcentral. Lineage: Eukaryota; Metazoa; Arthropoda; Copepoda; Calanoida; Calanidae.
GAUAGUGUGGCUGAAAUAGCACUAAACUGUAAAUUUAGGUAUAGGUUAUCCUCUCUAUCU